AUUGAACGCUGGCGGCGUGCUUAACACAUGCAAGUCGAGCGGUAACAGGCGUAGCAAUACGUGCUGACGAGCGGCGAACGGGUGAGUAAUGCUUCGGAAUCUUCCUUGUAGUGGGGAAUAACCUGGGGAAACUCAGGCUAAUGCCGCAUACGAACUACGGUUGAAAGCGGGGGAUCGCAAGACCUCGCGCUAUAAGAUGAGCCGAAGUCGGAUUAGCUAGUUGGUAGGGUAACGGCCUACCAAGGCGACGAUCCGUAGCUGGUCUGAGAGGACGACCAGCCACACUGGGACUGAGACACGGCCCAGACUCCUACGGGAGGCUG
RNAcentral lists this ribosomal RNA (323 nucleotides) under uncultured Pseudomonadota bacterium. RNAcentral's name for it is "bacterial SSU rRNA". It matches the Rfam family "Bacterial small subunit ribosomal RNA", at positions 30 to 351 of the family's 1533-position model. Lineage: Bacteria; Pseudomonadati; Pseudomonadota. The record is from RNAcentral.